Molecule: ribosomal RNA, 253 nt
Filed under: uncultured bacterium
Lineage: Bacteria
Description: partial 16S ribosomal RNA
Rfam family: Bacterial small subunit ribosomal RNA
Source: RNAcentral
GACGAACCGAGCAAACGUUAUUCGGAAUCACUGGGCUUAAAGGGUGCGUAGGCGGGCAAGUAAGUCAGGGGUGAAAUCCCACGGCCCAACCGUGGAAGUGCCUCUGAUACUGCGAGUCUAGAGGGGGAUAGGGGCGUGCGGAACUUCCGGUGGAGCGGUGAAAUGCGUAGAUAUCGGAAGGAACACCGGUGGCGAAAGCGGCGCGCUGGAUCCCUACUGACGCUGAGGCACGAAAGCCAGGGGAGCAAACGGG